UAGGGAAUCUUCGGCAAUGGGGGGAACCCUGACCGAGCAACGCCGCGUGAGUGAAGAAGGUUUUUGGAUCGUAAAGCUCUGUUGUUAAGGAAGAACGAGUGUGAGAAUGGAAAGUUCAUGCUGUGACGGUACUUAACCAGAAAGGGACGGCUAACUACGUGCCAGCAGCCGCGGUAAUACGUAGGUCCCGAGCGUUGUCCGAAUUUAUUGGGCGUAAAGCGAGCGCAGGCGGUUAGAAAAGUCUGAAGUGAAAGGCAGUGGCUCAACCAUUGUAGGCUUUGGAAACUGUUUAACUUGAGUGCAGAAGGGGAGAGUGGAAUUCCAUGUGUAGCGGUGAAAUGCGUAGAUAUAUGGAGGAACACCGGUGGCGAAAGCGGCUCUCUGGUCUGUAACUGACGCUGAGGCUCGAAAGCGUGGGGAGCGAACAGG
This 429-nucleotide ribosomal RNA is filed under the name Bacteroidota bacterium. Its description in RNAcentral is "Bacteroidetes bacterium partial 16S ribosomal RNA". It matches the Rfam family "Bacterial small subunit ribosomal RNA", at positions 355 to 776 of the family's 1533-position model. Lineage: Bacteria; Pseudomonadati; Bacteroidota. The record is from RNAcentral.